GACGAACGCUGGCGGCGCGCUUAACACAUGCAAGUCGAGCGAGAACCUGGCUUCGGCCAGGGGAAAGCGGCGAACGGGUGAGUAUCACGUGAGUUAUCCACCCUCGGUACCGGGAUAGCCCGAGGAAACUCGGAUUAAUACCGGAUGGCCCAACAGCUCUUCGGGGCGGUUGGAAAAGGUAGCUUCGGCCUCCGACCGGGGACGAGCUCGCGGCGGAUUAGCUUGUUUGGGUGGGGUAAAGGCCUACCCAAGGCAACGAUCCGAGCUGGUCUGAGAGGACGAUCAGCCACACUGGGACUGAGACACGGCCCCAGACUCCUACGGGAGGGCAGCAGUGGGGGAAUCUUGCGCAAUGGGCGAAAGCCUGACGCAGCGACGCCGCGUGGGGGAAGAAGG
RNAcentral lists this ribosomal RNA (396 nucleotides) under uncultured bacterium. RNAcentral describes it as "bacterial SSU rRNA". It matches the Rfam family "Bacterial small subunit ribosomal RNA", at positions 28 to 414 of the family's 1533-position model. The record is from RNAcentral.